RNAcentral lists this ribosomal RNA (520 nucleotides) under uncultured Glomeromycotina. RNAcentral describes it as "SSU rRNA". It matches the Rfam family "Eukaryotic small subunit ribosomal RNA", at positions 569 to 1088 of the family's 1831-position model. Lineage: Eukaryota; Fungi; Glomeromycota. The record is from RNAcentral.
AGCAGCCGCGGUAAUUCCAGCUCCAAUAGCGUAUAUUAAAGUUGUUGCAGUUAAAAAGCUCGUAGUUGAAUUUCGGGGUCAGUAGGUUGGUCGUGCCACUGGUAUGUACUGGCUUCACUGAUUCCUCCCUCUUGUAGAACCGUAAUGCCAUUAAUUUGGUGUUGCGGGGAAACAGGACUGUUACUUUGAAAAAAUUAGAGUGUUUAAAGCAGGCUAACGCUUGAAUACAUUAGCAUGGAAUAAUGAAAUAGGACGUUUGAUCCUAUUUUGUUGGUUUCUAGGAUUGACGUAAUGAUUAAUAGGGAUAGUUGGGGGCAUUAGUAUUCAAUUGUCAGAGGUGAAAUUCUUGGAUUUAUUGAAGACUAACUACUGCGAAAGCAUUUGCCAAGGAUGUUUUCAUUAAUCAAGAACGAAAGUUAGGGGAUCGAAGACGAUCAGAUACCGUCGUAGUCUUAACCAUAAACUAUGCCGACUAGGGAUCGGAUGAUGUUAAUUUUUUAAUGUACUCUAUUCGGCGCCG